This 253-nucleotide ribosomal RNA is filed under the name uncultured bacterium. Its description in RNAcentral is "partial 16S ribosomal RNA". It matches the Rfam family "Bacterial small subunit ribosomal RNA", at positions 524 to 776 of the family's 1533-position model. The record is from RNAcentral.
UACGGAGGGUGCAAGCGUUAUCCGGAUUCACUGGGUUUAAAGGGUGCGUAGGCGGCUUUAUAAGUCAUUGGUGAAAGCUCGCAGCUUAACUGUGAAACUGCCAUUGAAACUGUUUAGCUUGAAUGUGGUUGAAGUGGGCGGAAUACAACAUGUAGCGGUGAAAUGCUUAGAUAUGUUGUAGAACACCGAUUGCGAAGGCAGCUCACUAAGCCAAUAUUGACGCUGAGGCACGAAAGCGUGGGGAUCAAACAGG